CAAAGUGGCACCAGGAGGGACCAGCCACUGUGCUUUGCACCCAGCCUCACUGCACCUUCUGGUGCAUCUGGAAGGUCCUGAAGGAGGAGUUCCAGGGCCCCGGCUGCCAUGGGCCCUGAAGGAAUAGUUCGGUGCUGGAGCUGGGCAUGGGAAUAGAGCCAAGCAUUUGAGAGGCAGGGACCAGGCAGAUGUCAGAAACAAGAACCAGCAGACGGUCCAAAGAAGGCAUCUGUCUGAAGGCCAGGAUGCAAGAUACAGUAAGUAGGCUGCCAGCUGCAAGCCAGGAAGAGGGCCCUCACCAGAAGCCAACUAUGAUGGCACCCUGAUCUUGGACUUCCCAGUCUUCAGA
Molecule: long non-coding RNA, 349 nt
Organism: Pan troglodytes (chimpanzee)
Lineage: Eukaryota; Metazoa; Chordata; Mammalia; Primates; Hominidae
Exons: 3
Source: RefSeq, a predicted model, not a curated record